RNAcentral lists this long non-coding RNA (959 nucleotides) under Monodelphis domestica (gray short-tailed opossum). RNAcentral describes it as "lncRNA (ENSMODG00000041495.1)". Lineage: Eukaryota; Metazoa; Chordata; Mammalia; Didelphimorphia; Didelphidae. The record is from RNAcentral.
GGAAGAGAUUGGCUGAUCUCGAAUGGCUCGGGCCAAUGGAGGGUUGGCCUGGAAAGGGGCGGGACUCUUACCUGUGCCUUUGAAAUUGGACUUGGGUUGUUUGAAGCCGAAUCUUUCCUUCUGAGCUCGCACGUCUCCACUUACAUCUCGCGGACAUCAUGAGCAACCAGCUAGUUCGAGAAGACUAUAACCAGGCCCGUCCUCGGCGACCUAGGGCCAAACCCCAGGAAAAAGGCCCUCUGCGGUUCCUGGUCGAGGCUCGUCUCGUGGGAGCCCUCAUAGGUGAGUGGUUCAGUGGCCAAAUCCUUUUUAUCUCCCCAGCCUUUCUCGUGUCCCCUACCCCAUCCCUGGGGGAGGGGGGUCCUCUCCCCACCCCUCCGUGCCGGGAAAGCCUCGGGACGUGAGCCAGAGCUCCCGGCUGCUGCCCACGUGGCGCCUCCGCGGUUCUGCCUCCUCUGCCCUUGCUUCUCAAGCAGCCCGGGAUGCUCGGCUCCUCCACCCUGGUGCUUUCUCGGGAACCCUCUCUUUUACUCCCCUCCCCUUUCUGUUGUGGCUUGGGUUUCCUCGGUACCCCACUAGAGCUUUGCCGCGUACUAAGUAGGCGCUUUCUGAAUGCUUGUUGGAUUUGCACAGGUUUGAAAGGAUCGAGGAUACGCGCAAUGGAGACUCUUUCGGGAGCUCAGAUUAAAAUAGAUCUCUAUGGUCAAGAGGAAGACGGUGAAAAACCGGAAAAAGCGGAGGUACUAGUUUUUGGAAGCAGCCCCAGUAGAAUAAGGGCAAAAGAACUGGUUGAUUGUAUCAUCCGAUGGUAUCCACCCGCCUCCCCUGAUGCUGCAGAUGAAGCACAGAAGGCCGUUGCCCAGAUGUCCAUUCAGGAAAAGAAGUAAUAUGUAGCCCAGUUAGUUUUUUGUUAAUUUUAUAUAAAUAAAUUAUGUUUCCGUUUUUUUUCUGUUUUUCUU